AACGAACGCUGGCGGCAGGCCUAACACACGCAAGUCGAACGCACGUAGCAAUACGGGAGUGGCAGACGGGUGAGUAACGCGUGGGAACGUACCCUUUGGUUCGGAACAACUCCGGGAAACUGGAGCUAAUACCGGAUGAGCCCUACGGGGGAAAGAUUUAUCGCCGAAGGGUCGGCCCGCGUCGGAUUAGCUAGUUGGUGAGGUAACGGCUCACCAAGGCGACGAUCCGUAGCUGGUCUGAGAGGAUGAUCAGCCACACUGGGACUGAGACACGGCCCAGACUCCUACGGGAGGCAGCAGUGGGGAAUAUUGGACAAUGGGCGCAAGCCUGAUCCAGCCAUGCCGCGUGAGUGAUGAAGGCCUUAGGGUUGUAAAGCUCUUUCGCCAGGGACGAUAAUGACGGUACCUGGAUAAGAAGCCCCGGCUAACUUCGUGCCAGCCGCCGCAGUAA
This 451-nucleotide ribosomal RNA is filed under the name uncultured bacterium. RNAcentral's name for it is "partial 16S ribosomal RNA". It matches the Rfam family "Bacterial small subunit ribosomal RNA", at positions 29 to 523 of the family's 1533-position model. The record is from RNAcentral.